AUUGUUUGUAGGUACAAGUACGGACUCAUUAUCCGUAACUCUAAAGUUCGAUUCUUUAAAACAAUC
RNAcentral lists this transfer RNA (66 nucleotides) under Uronema marinum. RNAcentral describes it as "tRNA-Met". The record is from RNAcentral. Lineage: Eukaryota; Ciliophora; Oligohymenophorea; Philasterida; Uronematidae.